Labeo rohita (rohu) is the source of this 196-nucleotide long non-coding RNA. RefSeq lists it as uncharacterized. The transcript has 3 exons. Lineage: Eukaryota; Metazoa; Chordata; Actinopteri; Cypriniformes; Cyprinidae. The record is from RefSeq and is a predicted model, not a curated record.
GCCAUUACUACACUAGACGUGACUGGAGGCACGGGUUUAAGAUAUGGAUGACCACAGUGCAGAUAAGGGGAACGUAGUGCUGCCGCCUGGUGGUGCUGUGCCUUCAGGGAAGGCCAAUGAGGAAAACAUGAUUGACAACCCAUAUCUUCGGCCAGUCAAAAAGCCCAAAUUACAGCGAACAUACGAGGAACCAGAG